RNAcentral lists this transfer RNA (72 nucleotides) under Sphaerodactylus townsendi. RNAcentral's name for it is "tRNA-Ala". It matches the Rfam family "tRNA". Rfam says of the family: Transfer RNA (tRNA) molecules are approximately 80 nucleotides in length. Their secondary structure includes four short double-helical elements and three loops (D, anti-codon, and T loops). The record is from RNAcentral. Lineage: Eukaryota; Metazoa; Chordata; Lepidosauria; Squamata; Sphaerodactylidae.
GGAAGCGUAGCUCAGAGGUAGUGCAUCUGCUUGGCACACAGAAGGCUCCAGGUUCAAUCACUGUCAUCUCCA